CCUACGGGUGGCAGCAAUUAGGAAUCUUGCGCAAUGGGCGAAAGCCUGACGCAGCGACGCCGCGUGACUGAUGAAGUCUCUCGGGAUGUAAAGGUCUUUUCUGAAGGAAGAAAAAAAUGACGGUACUUCAGGAAUAAGCCCAGGCUAACUACGUGCCAGCAGCCGCGGUAAUACGUAGGGGGCGAGCGUUGUCCGAAUUUACUGGGCGUAAAGCACGCGUAGGCGGACUAUUAAGUUGGUGGUGAAAUCCCGAGGCUCAACCUCGGAACUGCCUCCAUAACUGUUAGUCUUGAGUUAUGGAGAGGAAAGUGGAAUUCCUGGUGUAGCGGUGAAAUGCGUAGAUAUCAGGAGGAACACCCAUGGCGAAGGCAGCUUUCUGGCCAUAUUCUGACGCUGAGGUGCGAAAGCUAGGGUAGCGAACG
RNAcentral lists this ribosomal RNA (422 nucleotides) under uncultured prokaryote. RNAcentral describes it as "bacterial SSU rRNA". It matches the Rfam family "Bacterial small subunit ribosomal RNA", at positions 338 to 774 of the family's 1533-position model. The record is from RNAcentral.